This 1001-nucleotide long non-coding RNA is filed under the name Homo sapiens (human). RNAcentral describes it as "HSALNT0299703". Lineage: Eukaryota; Metazoa; Chordata; Mammalia; Primates; Hominidae. The record is from RNAcentral.
GCCCCAGCUAGUAGAGGUAACCUGCUGCAGUCCUUUCCUGGAAGUUUUGUUCUUUGCAAUAAAUCUUGCUGCUGCUCACUUUUUAGGUGUGCUUUACCUUUACGGGCUGUAACACUCACUGUGAAGGUCUGCAGCUUCAAACCACAAACCCACCCCCGCUGGGAGGAAUGAACAACUUCAGACGGGCAGAGCAAACAACUCCAGAGGGGCCGCCUUAAGAGCUGUAACACUUAAUGGGAAGGUCUGCAGCUUUACUCCUGAAGCUAGCAAGACCACAAACCCACCAGAAGGAAGAACCUUUGAACAGGUCCGAACAUCAGAAGGAACAAGCUCUGGAUAUGCUGUCUUUAAGAACUGUAACACUCACGGCGAGGGUCUGCAACUUCAUUCUUGAAGUCGGUGAGACCAAGAACCCACCAUUUCCAGACACGGAAUCUGGCCAUGACAUGUAGCUGGGUGCUUCUGCCUCAAGAUUUUGUGCAAAUUUGCAAUCAAAUCAUCUGCUAGGACUGUGGCCUCAUCUAAAGACUGAGGAAGGAACUGCUUUCGGGUUCACCUACAUGGCUGUUGGCAGGAUUCAGCCACACAUACACCAUCACCGUGGGGCCUGUCCUCCCGGCUGUUCACAGAGACCCUUCUCAGCUCCUGGCCACACAGGAGCCCCCACAGGGCAGCUCACAACACACAGCUGCCUCCAUUUCAAUGGGCAAGGAAGAGAACCACAGAGCACAAGAUGGAACCCAGAGACUUUUGUAACCUCACCUUGGAAGAAACAUAAUCACUUUUGUCAUAUUGUAUUUAUUAGAAGUAAGUCACUAGCUCAACCCACCCUCAGGGAAGAAGUUUCCAUGAGGGCAUGGUUACUUACCAUAAGAAAGAGUCAAUCAACUCUGCUCCCGAUCUCUGCAAAGCUUCCAAUAAAAGUUAAACAACUAGUUUUGGCUAGUGCAUAUCCACCCAAACUGUUUUUAUUAUGUGAGCUUUAUGUUACAAAAAGCAAC